CUCAUGGAUUCGUGGUAUACCGUU
Molecule: small nuclear RNA, 24 nt
Filed under: Arabidopsis thaliana (thale cress)
Lineage: Eukaryota; Viridiplantae; Streptophyta; Magnoliopsida; Brassicales; Brassicaceae
Description: snRNA_08898
Source: RNAcentral